This 1298-nucleotide long non-coding RNA is filed under the name Lonchura striata (white-rumped munia). RNAcentral describes it as "domestica (Bengalese finch) lncRNA (ENSLSDG00000014203.1)". The record is from RNAcentral. Lineage: Eukaryota; Metazoa; Chordata; Aves; Passeriformes; Estrildidae.
GUUGGAAUCUGGUGAGUGGCCCAAUUGAUGUGACUGUCCCCCUCCCUGUGCCACCUCCACCUGACCUGAGUGGACUAGAAAAUACACAGGAGGGAGUAAGAAAACUUUUGUGGGAAAUGGUGGAAAAGUCCCAGGCUUUUCUUCUAUUUUCCCAGUUACAGGCUCUAUGAUCAAGCCAGAGACAAUCCCACAUUCAUACACUGACAUCUGCUGAAGGAACUUCUCAGGGAAAACCACACAAGAACCUGAAACUGGCCAGUAGCAACCAAAGGACAUUGUUGUUUCUGUAGUGGGGGCUGUGGACAGGUGAAGGUGUGCAGGUGGUUUCCAUGUGCUUCUGGGUUUGGUGCAUCCCACUGGUCACCAGUGACCUCUGCUCUCCCUUUCCACACUCACCUUCCUGCUCUGCUCCUCCUUUCCCUCCUCACCCACCUCUGUUUGCUCCCAAUUGCUGACACAUCCCAGAACUUGCACCUGCAGCUGGUGCAAGAUGCUCUGCAAGACAAAUUCUCCUCAAACAUCCAGAGAGUGGCACCUUCCCUUGCUCCAGGUGACUUUCUUCCCUCCAAGCUGUCAAGGUGGACCUGGGCAGGUGGCUUUUGCCUUUGGACCCCUUGGGGCAGGACCAUGGUGGUCCUGGGGUCAGUGCAGGUGGGUUUGAUGGUGCUGGUGGUACCACUCAGGUUCUCACUCCUUCUGUGUGUGGUCCAGAGGUACCUAAGAUGAAUCUGCCCCAAAAAAGCUCAGCUCAACCUGUUCAGUUGAUGCAUCUUUUAAAAAAGAGAGGAUUCCUUGCCAAGGUGAUUUCACUGUUAGAGCAAAAGUUAAGUUCCUAAACUAUUGUGAUUUUUUUUUUCCACCAGGUCUGGUCAUGAUCCUAAUGUUUACAUUUUUAGAUAGCUAUGCAAAGCAGCAACAAGGAAGGAUUAAUUUACCCCUUAUUUUUAAUUAGUUACAGCUCUUCAGCCGAGUCCACCCACUCUGUAACCUCAAGGGUAUCUCAUGAUACCUGGGGAUGGAUUUGGCUAAACAAUCACCAAUUUAUUGCCUUUGGAAAUCAGUAUAUUUUCAAAAGAAUGUGAACAAUUUGUACAGUCUUGCAACAGUUGCUACAAAACCAGAAGAAAUACCAGUAACACUUGCUAUGUGUAUUUUAACCCCAACCACUCAAUUUCAUUUAAUUAAGAUGUAGCUCAGCCAAAUAUUUCCUUAUAUUGUGUUUUCCCACUUCUCUGUUUUACAAAAAAAAAAAAAAAAAAAAAAAUAAAAAAAAAAAAAAAAAAAAAAAAAAAAAAAAA